GGUGAGGUGGCUGAGUGGCCUAAAGCGGCAGUUUGCUAAACUGUUGACGGGUAAAACCGUCCGGAGGUUCGAAUCCUCUCCUCACCG
RNAcentral lists this transfer RNA (87 nucleotides) under Verrucomicrobiales bacterium. RNAcentral describes it as "tRNA-Ser". It matches the Rfam family "tRNA". Rfam says of the family: Transfer RNA (tRNA) molecules are approximately 80 nucleotides in length. The record is from RNAcentral. Lineage: Bacteria; Pseudomonadati; Verrucomicrobiota; Verrucomicrobiia; Verrucomicrobiales.